Xenia sp. Carnegie-2017 is the source of this 2153-nucleotide long non-coding RNA. RefSeq lists it as uncharacterized. NCBI's taxonomy places the organism in Eukaryota, Metazoa, Cnidaria, Anthozoa, Malacalcyonacea, Xeniidae. The transcript has 2 exons. The record is from RefSeq and is a predicted model, not a curated record.
GACUAGAUUUCAUUGAUGGAUAAUAAGUUGUACGGUCAUGGAACAUUCUUGCUUUGGUUGCGUCUUUGGAGCUUAACUUCAUCGUUAUUUGAAAAGUUUGUUUUUCGUCAUGUAUCACUUUUUAAAGGAGGAUACUUCACCACAGUCAAGACAUUCAAAUGAGUCAGAAUGCUUUUGUAUGAUUUUGCAUUUACAUAAACCCUCGACAUUAGCUUCCGUAUUGGUGGAUAUCCAAUAACAGAUAAGGUACUUUUGGACCAAUCAAGGUAUAGUGCCAGUCUACCAAAUUUUUCUCGCGCCAAGCAAUAAAUAUGUAGUAACGCAGAAUAUGAAAUUAUAUUAUUCUGUAUUACCAUUCGAGUUACAAGGUGAUGAGACCAAUUCAUUUAAAAAUGAACAGCUUUAGAGCUUAUUACAAUGAAAGCACUUCAUUUGAAUCAAUUCUGUUUACAAAUUUUGCAAGAUUAAAUCCCAAAAAUGUGAUAACAAAAGUAAGAUGUAAUGAAUGCAUUGGAUUCCAAACGGUAGUUUCAAACUUAUUGUAUAUUGUAUGUUAAUUCCACAUAACUUGUGUGAACAAAGUUACAGAAUCUUCCUUCGUUUUGUUAAUUUCACCCAAGUUUAACACUAGCCACAUUAAAUGUUUUGUAGUCAUCACAUUCUCUUACAUAUUUUAGACUGAUUAAUUGGCGUCUAUAUUAGGAAAGGGAGUGUUCUUAUAACUCUUAGCACAUAAUAAUUAUAAUAUAGUGCAGGUUUAGCCAACAUAAUAAAUAUUAGCUGAAUUAGGAUAUGUAAUUUUAUCUUAGCUUACUUUUCAGUAACAUAAGUUGUGUUAUUUUAUCUUACCAACUUAACAAAUAUAAAUGAAUGAAUGAAUGAGUCACGUCUCCUUUGAAAUAAUAUUUCUGCAUUACACACUCAACAGGAUCAUUGUAAAACGUUUUCUAUAAAUGGCAAUCGUUACAAGUGACAUGGUUUUAGUAAUCACAUUGACACUAGCACAACUUUUAUCAUAUUUUUGCUUAGAAAUACGAUUGAGGGCACGCUUAGUUUGCUUUUGAGAAUUUAAAGUACAAAGAAAAAGUUAUUUUUACGACUGCGUAAAGCGACUGCCUAGUGUGUUUCAGCCCUAAGAGGUUAAUUGUGUGUAAUUACGUGGGAGUUAAUGACGACACGUGUGAAUCUGCUAUCGUACCAACAGACGCAAAGCUGAAAACGAUUUAUAUUAAAAUCGGCUUUUUCAAACUGCGGUGAAUAAAUCAGACCUAAAAAUAUGUAAACAUUGCAUUAUAUUGUUGACUUACACACAAACCUUUGAAGUUGAAAGUGUGUUAGAUAUCGUUGGAAGAAUGGUGAAAAUGGAUUAAUUGUUAUAGAAAUAUUUGUGUUAAAACAAGAUACAUAGUUUUUGUAACAACAGUUUUUGCCAUUGGUGAUGUUUAAUGACUGAAUUACAAUAGUACACGUUCACAAGUAUUUGUAAUUGUAGUGAACCCUACUGAACCUUCGUCGCCAGUUGAAUGACAAAAUUAAGACGUACGUGUACAACAAAUGAAAUAUUGCAUACGAAAGCUAUAAGUAGAAACAAAAAGUUUUUAACAGGAGCAAAAGGAUGUUAUUGUUUUGGAAACGUGAUAGAAUUGUCGUCAAUGAAAUGUGUAUUGAGCGGUAGAGAUUGGGUUUUUUCGUUUUAUGUGUUUUCCGACAUCUUUUGGUUUCACCUGGAUUUAACUCCAUCGACAGUCUAUACAUGGUAUUUUUGUAAAAGUCUUUGAGUGCGCCGUUAGAGCUGCAGAAAAUAGCACAGAAAAGAUUUAUACGUCGAAGCCAAUUGUGCCAAAGUGAAACCAGGAGAGAUUCAGAAAGUAUAUGGAAAGUUAGACGUUUUCUUUUGUUAGUACAUGGUAAAAACAUUUCCCUGAGAUGUUUAAUGAGUAUAAAGUCGCAGUUUUGCAUAAAAAAGACAGAUUGCCGGAUGCUUAAUCUUUUACAGCACGUCAUGUCUGCAGAUAAAACAGACGAUAAAGACUAACAAUGUUUAUUGACUUAAUUGAAAAUAAUUAACUUGUGAUAAUGAAAGUUGCCAGCGUUAAGGCAACUGUAAAUAGAAUAACGAAUAAAGAUGUAUGCAUGCAUGAUUUAUCUAGAAA